RNAcentral lists this transfer RNA (74 nucleotides) under Armatimonas rosea. It matches the Rfam family "tRNA". From Rfam's summary of the family: Transfer RNA (tRNA) molecules are approximately 80 nucleotides in length. Their secondary structure includes four short double-helical elements and three loops (D, anti-codon, and T loops). The record is from Rfam by way of RNAcentral. Lineage: Bacteria; Bacillati; Armatimonadota; Armatimonadia; Armatimonadales; Armatimonadaceae.
GGGCUCGUGGCUUAAUUGGGUAGAGCAUCGGUCUUGCACACCGACGGUUGCAGGUUCAAGUCCUGUCGAGUCCA